AUCCAGAUGACGAGUCCCAAAUAGGACAGUGGAAAUGCGCAUCCUGGAU
This is a non-coding RNA of Trichobilharzia regenti, 49 nucleotides long. The record is from Rfam. Lineage: Eukaryota; Metazoa; Platyhelminthes; Trematoda; Strigeidida; Schistosomatidae.